RNAcentral lists this non-coding RNA (26 nucleotides) under Homo sapiens (human). The record is from RNAcentral. Lineage: Eukaryota; Metazoa; Chordata; Mammalia; Primates; Hominidae.
UUCCACUGUAUGACCAAGGCCUGGGA